CCACAAAAAGUGACCCGAGGACGGCCCAGCGUUGGGCCCCGCUCACCAUUCAAAGACUCUUUUGAGUUUGGGUGAUGCGGAUGUUGGCUGUGCUAGAUAUUCCCACGGUGCCAUUCCUGCAGACGGAGCGUGGGGAGCCCUGGGAGCCUGUGGGAGCGGCUUCAUUAGCUGCCUCGCGCUGGCACUGCCUGACGGGUCGAACAGGGCUGUCACUAGGAAGCGCCAUCCAGUUGCCAUCACCCAACACAAUGGAAGGGUGACAGGUUUCACUGUGAGCUUGCCAAGGACACCUCUAAACUCCCCCAUGUCAGGCAGAUGAAGUUACCACUUUAUUUCGCCACCCUGCAGGUAACUGAAACUCAAUUACCGCUGCUCCUCACUUGGUUCCAUCCCCCUGAGUUUAGACAGCUCCGAUGCCUCUCAGAACUCCCCUGCCUGCUCUCUUUGCUCUACCCCAGGGGUGAGCCCACUGGAGCCCGAGACCAGCCCUGCUUGCCUUCGCUCACUUAUCUGAGCCUUUCAGCUCUCCCUGGAAGACCUUCGGGGAUGGGCUCCUGAGCCCCCAUGCUGAGGCUUCUAAUGAGGAGCUGGCCUGAAGCUUCCCUGCACCUCAGGGUUCAUUUGAAUACAGGCUCUGUUGAAGAUGCAUAAUGAAAUUUCUCUUGCAGUGACUUACUGCAGUAAGAAAAAAAUGCAUACGUGAAGAUUUUCAAUGAAAUACAUCUAUACGUGCCCGCUUGGGUGAUUAUGUAAAUGCUCUUGCUCUUUAAAAAGUAAUAAUAAACUGAGAUAUACCAAAUC
RNAcentral lists this long non-coding RNA (801 nucleotides) under Rattus norvegicus (Norway rat). Its description in RNAcentral is "long non-coding RNA NONRATT023447". The record is from RNAcentral. Lineage: Eukaryota; Metazoa; Chordata; Mammalia; Rodentia; Muridae.